This 441-nucleotide ribosomal RNA is filed under the name Microbacterium esteraromaticum. RNAcentral's name for it is "bacterial SSU rRNA". It matches the Rfam family "Bacterial small subunit ribosomal RNA", at positions 983 to 1423 of the family's 1533-position model. The record is from RNAcentral. Lineage: Bacteria; Bacillati; Actinomycetota; Actinomycetes; Micrococcales; Microbacteriaceae.
GACAUACACGAGAACGGGCCAGAAAUGGUCAACUCUUUGGACACUCGUGAACAGGUGGUGCAUGGUUGUCGUCAGCUCGUGUCGUGAGAUGUUGGGUUAAGUCCCGCAACGAGCGCAACCCUCGUUCUAUGUUGCCAGCACGUAAUGGUGGGAACUCAUGGGAUACUGCCGGGGUCAACUCGGAGGAAGGUGGGGAUGACGUCAAAUCAUCAUGCCCCUUAUGUCUUGGGCUUCACGCAUGCUACAAUGGCCGGUACAAUGGGCUGCAAUACCGUGAGGUGGAGCGAAUCCCAAAAAGCCGGUCCCAGUUCGGAUUGAGGUCUGCAACUCGACCUCAUGAAGUCGGAGUCGCUAGUAAUCGCAGAUCAGCAACGCUGCGGUGAAUACGUUCCCGGGUCUUGUACACACCGCCCGUCAAGUCAUGAAAGUCGGUAACACCUG